RNAcentral lists this long non-coding RNA (572 nucleotides) under Nicotiana benthamiana. RNAcentral describes it as "long non-coding RNA (NBEN_LNC004830)". Lineage: Eukaryota; Viridiplantae; Streptophyta; Magnoliopsida; Solanales; Solanaceae. The record is from RNAcentral.
UACAGCCUAAUUAUACUCUCAGUGUCAGUUCUGCUCAAUUUUCUGAGCUUUACCUACUCGCUUUGCGUGAUGAUGUCAAAAUCAAAAAUCAAAAUUCUGCAUCUAAAACCACUCAACUAAAAGCAGCCCAAAAUCCUUCCAGGCAACUUCACUUUAUCGCACAAAUACACAAGGAAAAAGGAAAAGCUCACUAAUACAAGAAAAAUUAAAAUCAAAUUUCACCUAAAUCAAUGCUUCAUCAUAAUAUUCACGUACUCCUCUUCCUUUACCAAAAAUUGCACCAAAGUUUACAGUUUUACACAAUUGGACAUCAUACGAUCAACAUCAUCACCGUCACAAAUAUCAAAGAUAACCUCAUCGAAUCAAUCGAAGAAGUCAUACAUACUUUUUACUUUAAAUAAAAAAAGAAAAAAUUGGCCGAAAUUUGGAUUCGGAGUUGAGGAAAAGAAAAGAAUGAGUGAAUCGUUAGGUCAAGGAUUUUUCAUGGAAAACGUGAAUAUUUUGAGGAAAAGAAAAGAAUGAGUGAAUCAUUAGGUCAAGGAUUUUUCAUGGAAAACGUGAAUAUUCCGACG